GAUGAACGCUGGCGGCGUGCCUAAUACAUGCAAGUCGAGCGAAUGGAUUGAGAGCUUGCUCUCAUGAAGUUAGCGGUGGACGGGUGAGUAACACGUGGGUAACCUGCCCAUAAGACUGGGAUAACUCCGGGAAACCGGGGCUAAUACCGGAUAACAUUUUGAACCGCAUGGUUCGAAAUUGAAAGGCGGCUUCGGCUGUCACUUAUGGAUGGACCCGCGUCGCAUUAGCUAGUUGGUGAGGUAACGGCUCACCAAGGCAACGAUGCGUAGCCGACCUGAGAGGGUGAUCGGCCACACUGGGACUGAGACACGGCCCAGACUCCUACGGGAGGCAGCAGUAGGGAAUCUUCCGCAAUGGACGAAAGUCUGACGGAGCAACGCCGCGUGAGUGAUGAAGGCUUUCGGGUCGUAAAACUCUGUUGUUAGGGAAGAACAAGUGCUAGUUGAAUAAGCUGGCACCUUGACGGUACCUAACCAGAAAGCCACGGCUAACUACGUGCCAGCCGCCGCAGUAA
RNAcentral lists this ribosomal RNA (515 nucleotides) under uncultured bacterium. RNAcentral's name for it is "partial 16S ribosomal RNA". It matches the Rfam family "Bacterial small subunit ribosomal RNA", at positions 28 to 523 of the family's 1533-position model. The record is from RNAcentral.